UACGUAGGGUGCGAGCGUUGUCCGGAAUUAUUGGGCGUAAAGGGCUCGUAGGCGGUCUGUCGCGUCGGGAGUGAAAACUCAGGGCUUAACCCUGAGCCUGCUUCCGAUACGGGCAGACUAGAGGUAUGCAGGGGAGAACGGAAUUCCUGGUGUAGCGGUGGAGUGCGCAGAUAUCAGGAGGAACACCGGUGGCGAAGGCGGUUCUCUGGGCAUUACCUGACGCUGAGGAGCGAAAGCGUGGGGAGCGAUCCGG
RNAcentral lists this ribosomal RNA (253 nucleotides) under uncultured bacterium. Its description in RNAcentral is "partial 16S ribosomal RNA". It matches the Rfam family "Bacterial small subunit ribosomal RNA", at positions 524 to 776 of the family's 1533-position model. The record is from RNAcentral.